RNAcentral lists this ribosomal RNA (574 nucleotides) under Fusarium graminearum. RNAcentral describes it as "eukaryotic LSU rRNA". The record is from RNAcentral. Lineage: Eukaryota; Fungi; Ascomycota; Sordariomycetes; Hypocreales; Nectriaceae.
UCGGUAAUGAUCCUUUCGUAGGUGAACCUGCGGAGGGAUCAUUACCGAGUUUACAACUCCCAAACCCCUGUGAACAUACCUUAUGUUGCCUCGGCGGAUCAGCCCGCGCCCCGUAAAAAGGGACGGCCCGCCGCARGAACCCUAAACUCUGUUUUUAGUGGAACUUCUGAGUAUAAAAAACAAAUAAAUCAAAACUUUCAACAACGGAUCUCUUGGUUCUGGCAUCGAUGAAGAACGCAGCAAAAUGCGAUAAGUAAUGUGAAUUGCAGAAUUCAGUGAAUCAUCGAAUCUUUGAACGCACAUUGCGCCCGCCAGUAUUCUGGCGGGCAUGCCUGUUCGAGCGUCAUUUCAACCCUCAAGCCCAGCUUGGUGUUGGGAGCUGCAGUCCUGCUGCACUCCCCAAAUACAUUGGCGGUCACGUCGAGCUUCCAUAGCGUAGUAAUUUACACAUCGUUACUGGUAAUCGUCGCGGCCACGCCGUUAAACCCCAACUUCUGAAUGUUGACCUCGGAUCAGGUAGGAAUACCCGCUGAACUUAAGCAUAUCAAUAAGCGGAGGAGGGGGAUCAUUACGA